This 495-nucleotide ribosomal RNA is filed under the name uncultured bacterium. Its description in RNAcentral is "partial 16S ribosomal RNA". It matches the Rfam family "Bacterial small subunit ribosomal RNA", at positions 30 to 507 of the family's 1533-position model. The record is from RNAcentral.
UGACCGCUGGCGGCGUGCCUAAUACAUGCAAGUCGAGCGAACGGACGAGAAGCUUGCUUCUCUGAUGUUAGCGGCGGACGGGUGAGUAACACGUGGAUAACCUACCUAUAAGACUGGGAUAACUUCGGGAAACCGGAGCUAAUACCGGAUAAUAUUUUGAACCGCAUGGUUCAAAAGUGAAAGACGGUCUUGCUGUCACUUAUAGAUGGAUCCGCGCUGCAUUAGCUAGUUGGUAAGGUAACGGCUUACCAAGGCAACGAUGCAUAGCCGACCUGAGAGGGUGAUCGGCCACACUGGAACUGAGACACGGUCCAGACUCCUACGGGAGGCAGCAGUGGGGAAUCUUCCGCAAUGGGCGAAAGCCUGACGGAGCAACGCCGCGUGAGUGAUGAAGGUCUUCGGAUCGUAAAACUCUGUUAUUAGGGAAGAACAUAUGUGUAAGUAACUGUGCACAUCUUGACGGUACCUAAUCAGAAAGCCACGGCUAACUACGUG